This is a long non-coding RNA of Scylla paramamosain (green mud crab), 1005 nucleotides long. RefSeq lists it as uncharacterized. Lineage: Eukaryota; Metazoa; Arthropoda; Malacostraca; Decapoda; Portunidae. The record is from RefSeq and is a predicted model, not a curated record. The transcript has 3 exons.
CCUCCUUCCUCUGAGACUUAGGGCCGUACUUUUAAAAACUUUCGCCAGGUCCGGCAUUCAGUUUCACCAGGCGAUCAACAAUUUCGUACUGUUAACACCAGUGACAGAUGUCACCAGACUUUCCUUCGCCAGGGUUGGCAAUGGAAUCAUAUUGGAAUAGCCUGGCGAACGUAAGUAGCCGAGAGGCUACUUACGUUGCCUACUUGCUUUCUCAAAACCAUCGUGAUUCUAGCUGGAGAUCAAGACAACACCAGGCCCCCCAGAUUAUGGAUCCCCUAGUAGAAUUUGAAGAGUUGGAAGUGCUUGAGAUGCAGGAGAAAGACUGCCAAGACGAACCACUUGGAUUUGUUUACAAGCCUGACUGAAGGGGAAUUUACAUCUCGGUUCCACAUAGGCAAGGCAACUGCAAGGUCUUUGCUUGCUGAUUUACAUUUACCAGAGGCAAAUGAUUCAUGAGGCUGUCCAGUGCCACCUCACCUUCAACUCCUCUUCACCUUACAAUUGAUGGCAACUGGAGAUUUGCAGCUCACAAUUGGGGAUAACUUUGACAUUUCACAACAGUUCAUAAGCUCAUGCUCCUCAUGUACUGUACGUGCCAUUGCUGCUUUAUUUCAGCGGCACAUAAAGUUUCCUGAAAGGCAUCAGCUGCAACCUGUUAAGGACAACUUUUCUGCUAUUUCUGGAUUUCCCAGUGUUAUUGGUGCAAUAGACUGUACACAUAUUCCCAUUCAGAGUCCAGGUGGUCCCCAAGCCGAACAGUAUCGGUGCAAAAAGGUUUUUUUUUCAUUAAAUGUACAAGCAGCGUGUGGUCCAGGCUUGAGUUUUUUUUAAUGUUGUUUGUCAGUGGCCAGGCUCAGUGCAUGAUAGCAGGAUAUUCAGGAGCAGUUCUUUGUAUGCUCAAAUGCAGACAGGAGAUUAUAGUGGCCAUCUGCUAGGGUAUUCUGCAUACCCAUUAAGCUCAUUUUUAUUGACUCAAGUUUUGAAUCCCAGACAGCAAAAUUAAAU